AACGAACGCUGGCGGCAGGCUUAACACAUGCAAGUCGAGCGAAGACUUCGGUCUUAGCGGCGGACGGGUGAGUAACGCGUGGGAACAUACCCUUUGCUACGGAACAGUCCCGGGAAACUGGGUUUAAUACCGUAUACGCCCUUCGGGGGAAAGAUUUAUCGGCAAAGGAUUGGCCCGCGUUGGAUUAGGUAGUUGGUGGGGUAAAGGCCUACCAAGCCGACGAUCCAUAGCUGGUUUGGGAGGAUGAUCAGCUAUAGAUCGUC
RNAcentral lists this ribosomal RNA (263 nucleotides) under uncultured bacterium. RNAcentral's name for it is "partial 16S ribosomal RNA". It matches the Rfam family "Bacterial small subunit ribosomal RNA", at positions 29 to 319 of the family's 1533-position model. The record is from RNAcentral.